Callithrix jacchus (white-tufted-ear marmoset) is the source of this 148-nucleotide unclassified non-coding RNA. It matches the Rfam family "Metazoan signal recognition particle RNA". Rfam says of the family: The signal recognition particle (SRP) is a universally conserved ribonucleoprotein. It is involved in the co-translational targeting of proteins to membranes. Lineage: Eukaryota; Metazoa; Chordata; Mammalia; Primates; Cebidae. The record is from Ensembl.
GCUGGGUGUGGUGGUGUAUGCCUGUAGUCCCAGCUACUUGGGAGGCUGAGGCAGGAGAAUCGCUUGAACCCAGGAGGUGGAGGUUGCAGUGAGCCAAGAUUGAGCCAUUGCGCUCCAGCCUGGGUGACAGAGCGAGACCCUGUCUCAG